This 460-nucleotide ribosomal RNA is filed under the name uncultured bacterium. RNAcentral describes it as "partial 16S ribosomal RNA". It matches the Rfam family "Bacterial small subunit ribosomal RNA", at positions 338 to 795 of the family's 1533-position model. The record is from RNAcentral.
CCUACGGGUGGCAGCAGUGAGGAAUAUUGGUCAAUGGCCGAGAGUCUGAACCAGCCAAGUAGCGUGAAGGAUGACUGCGCUGAGGGUUGUAGACUUCUUUUAUCUGGGAAUAAAAUGCUCCACGUGUGGGGUUCUGUAUGUACCAUAUGAAUAAGGAUCGGCUAACUCCGUGCCAGCAGCCGCGGUAAUACGGAGGAUCCGAGCGUUAUCCGGAUUUAUUGGGUUUAAAGGGGGCGUAGGUGGGUUGUUAAGUCCGUGGUGAAAUUCUGGGGCUCAACCGUAACAUUGCAGUUGAAACUGGGAGUCUUGAGUACAGUAGAGGUAGGCGGAAUGCGCGGUGUAGCGGUGAAAUGCUUAGAUAUCACGCAGAACCCCGAUUGCGAAGGCAGCGCGCUGGGCUGCCACUGACGCUGAGGCUCGAAAGUGCGGGGAUCAAACAGGAUUAGAUACCCUUGUAGUC